CAUUCUGCUAGCAUUUCCUGCUGCUUGAUUACAUUGUCUGCUGACCUUUAAGUCAUCAGAAACAAUCACCCUUAAAUCCCUUUCCUCAGAUGUUGAGGUUAGAACUGUAUCAAAUAUUCUGUACUCUGCCCUUGGGUUUUUACGUCCAAGAUGCAUUAUCUUGCACUUACCCACAUUAAAUGUCAGAUGCCACAACUCUGACCAUUGUUCUAGUUUACCUAAAUCAUUUAUCAUUUGGCUUAUCCCUCCUGGAGCAUCAACCCUGUUACAUAUCUUAGUAUCAUCAGCAAAAAGACAUACCUUACCAUCAAGACCUUCUGCAAUAUCACUAAUAAAAAUAUUAAAGAGAAUGGGUCCAAGUACAGAUUCCUGAGGUACCCCACCGGUGACAAGCCCAUGCUUCAAAUAUACCCCAUUGACUAAAACCCUCUGUUGCCUGUCACUGAGCCAUUGCCUUACCCAUUCAACAUUAUUGGAAUCCAAACUUAAAGAUUGCAGUUUAUUGAUAAGCCUUCUAUGUGGAACAGUGUCAAAAGCCUUACUGAAAUCUAGGUAAGCAAUGUCUACUGCACCACCCUGAUCUAUUAUUUUAGUUACCCAAUAAAAAAUUUCAAUAAGAUUAGUUCGGCAUGAUCUCCCUGAAGUAAACCCAUGUUGUCUCUGAUCUUGAAAUCUAUGUGAUUUUUAGAUGUUCAACAAUCCUAUCCUUUAACAUGGUUUCCAUUACUUUCCCCACUACUGAAGUAAGGCUUACUGGCCUAUAGUUGCCCGACACCUCCCUACUACCUUUCUUGUGAAUGGGCACAACAUUCGCUAGCUACCAAUCUUCUGGGACUACUCCUGUUAAUAAUGAUUGGUUAAAUAUAUCUGUUAAUGGUUUUGCUAGUACACCACUAAGCUCUUUUAAUAACUUUGUGUGUAUUCCAUCAGGUCCCAUUGACUUAUUUGUCUUUACUUUUGACAGUUGAAAUAGAACCUCUUCCUCUGUAAACUUACAUGUAACAAAUGACUAAUUUGUCCUUUUUCCUAACUGAGGCCCCUUUCCUUCAUUUUCAUCUGUAAAUACUGAACAAAAAUAUUUAUUGAGGCAGUCAGCU
This is a non-coding RNA of Pelobates cultripes (western spadefoot toad), 1097 nucleotides long. Lineage: Eukaryota; Metazoa; Chordata; Amphibia; Anura; Pelobatidae. The record is from the annotation of a GenBank genome assembly.